RNAcentral lists this ribosomal RNA (253 nucleotides) under uncultured bacterium. Its description in RNAcentral is "partial 16S ribosomal RNA". It matches the Rfam family "Bacterial small subunit ribosomal RNA", at positions 524 to 776 of the family's 1533-position model. The record is from RNAcentral.
GACAGAGGGUGCAAACGUUGCUCGGAAUCACUGGGCGUAAAGGGCGUGUAGGCGGGAAGGAUAGUCAGAUGUGAAAGCCCUGGGCUCAACCCAGGAACUGCAUUUGAAACUCCCUUUCUUGAGUGUCGGAGAGGAAAGCGGAAUUCCUGGUGUAGAGGUGAAAUGCGUAGAGAUCAGGAAGAACAUCGGUGGCGAAGGCGCUCUGCUGGACCAUAACUGACACUCAGGGACGAAAGCUAGGGGAGCGAAUGGG